Strigops habroptila (Kakapo) is the source of this 102-nucleotide long non-coding RNA. RefSeq lists it as uncharacterized. The transcript is spliced from 3 exons. NCBI's taxonomy places the organism in Eukaryota, Metazoa, Chordata, Aves, Psittaciformes, Psittacidae. The record is from RefSeq and is a predicted model, not a curated record.
ACACUGCCAGGGAUGGGGCAGCCACAGCUUCUCUGGGCACCCUGUGCCAGCGUCUCAGCACCCUCACAGGAAUGAAUUUCUUCCUAAAGUCUAAUUUAAAUC